RNAcentral lists this small nuclear RNA (174 nucleotides) under Salmo salar (Atlantic salmon). RNAcentral describes it as "U2 spliceosomal RNA (ENSSSAG00000109826.1)". It matches the Rfam family "U2 spliceosomal RNA". From Rfam's summary of the family: U2 is a small nuclear RNA (snRNA) component of the spliceosome (involved in pre-mRNA splicing). Complementary binding between U2 snRNA (in an area lying towards the 5' end but 3' to hairpin I) and the branchpoint sequence (BPS) of the intron results the bulging out of an unpaired adenosine, on the BPS, which initiates a nucleophilic attack at the intronic 5' splice site, thus starting the first of two transesterification reactions that mediate splicing. Lineage: Eukaryota; Metazoa; Chordata; Actinopteri; Salmoniformes; Salmonidae. The record is from RNAcentral.
AUUAUUUUUCAAAAAAAAAAAUCUGUUCUUAUCAGUUUAAUAUCUGAUACGUCCCCCAUCGGGGGACUACAUAUUAAAUGGAUUUUUCGAACAGGGAGUCGGAAAUGGGGCUUGCUCCGUCCGCUCCACGCAUCGACCCGGUAUUGCAGUACCUCCGGGAACGGUGCAACACUU